This 889-nucleotide ribosomal RNA is filed under the name Mariannaea samuelsii. RNAcentral's name for it is "LSU rRNA". It matches the Rfam family "Eukaryotic large subunit ribosomal RNA", at positions 40 to 961 of the family's 3401-position model. The record is from RNAcentral. Lineage: Eukaryota; Fungi; Ascomycota; Sordariomycetes; Hypocreales; Nectriaceae.
AUAUCAAUAAGCGGAGGAAAAGAAACCAACAGGGAUUGCCCUAGUAACGGCGAGUGAAGCGGCAACAGCUCAAAUUUGAAAUCUGGCCCUCGGGUCCGAGUUGUAAUUUGUAGAGGAUGCUUUUGGUGCGGUGCCUUCCGAGUUCCCUGGAACGGGACGCCAUAGAGGGUGAGAGCCCCGUCUGGUUGGACACCAAUCCUCUGUAAAGCUCCUUCGACGAGUCGAGUAGUUUGGGAAUGCUGCUCUAAAUGGGAGGUAUAUGUCUUCUAAAGCUAAAUACCGGCCAGAGACCGAUAGCGCACAAGUAGAGUGAUCGAAAGAUGAAAAGCACUUUGAAAAGAGAGUUAAAAAGUACGUGAAAUUGUUGAAAGGGAAGCGCUUAUGACCAGACUUGGGCUUGGUAGAUCAACCUGGGUUCUCCCUGGUGCACUCUUCCUCGUCCAGGCCAGCAUCAGUUCGCUGCGGGGGAUAAAGGUUUCGGGAAUGUGGCUCCCUCGGGAGUGUUAUAGCCCGUUGCGUAAUACCCUGUGGUGGACUGAGGUUCGCGUUCUGCAAGGAUGCUGGCGUAAUGGUCAUCAGUGACCCGUCUUGAAACACGGACCAAGGAGUCGUCUUCGUAUGCGAGUGUUCGGGUGUUAAACCCCUACGCGUAAUGAAAGUGAACGCAGGUGAGAGCUUCGGCGCAUCAUCGACCGAUCCUGAUGUUCUCGGAUGGAUUUGAGUAAGAGCAUACGGGGCCGGACCCGAAAGAAGGUGAACUAUGCCUGUAUAGGGUGAAGCCAGAGGAAACUCUGGUGGAGGCUCGCAGCGGUUCUGACGUGCAAAUCGAUCGUCAAAUAUGGGCAUGGGGGCGAAAGACUAAUCGAACCUUCUAGUAGCUGGUUUCCGC